ACCUGGGUGGCUCAGUCGGUUAAGCAUCAGACUUUGGCUCAGGUCAUGGGCUUGAAGGUCGUGGGUUCGAGUCCCACGUCGGGCU
This 85-nucleotide transfer RNA is filed under the name Felis catus (domestic cat). It matches the Rfam family "tRNA". Rfam says of the family: Transfer RNA (tRNA) molecules are approximately 80 nucleotides in length. Their secondary structure includes four short double-helical elements and three loops (D, anti-codon, and T loops). The record is from Rfam by way of RNAcentral. Lineage: Eukaryota; Metazoa; Chordata; Mammalia; Carnivora; Felidae.